CGAGUGAGCGGCAGAGCUCAGAUUUGAAAUCGUGCUUUGCGGCACGAGUUGUAGAUUGCAGGUUGGAGUCUGUGUGGAAGGCGGUGUCCAAGUCCCUUGGAACAGGGCGCCCAGGAGGGUGAGAGCCCCGUGGGAUGCCGGCGGAAGCAGUGAGGCCCUUCUGACGAGUCGAGUUGUUUGGGAAUGCAGCUCCAAGCGGGUGGUAAAUUCCAUCUAAGGCUAAAUACUGGCGAGAGACCGAUAGCGAACAAGUACUGUGAAGGAAAGAUGAAAAGCACUUUGAAAAGAGAGUGAAACAGCACGUGAAAUUGUUGAAAGGGAAGGGUAUUGCGCCCGACAUGGGGAUUGCGCACCGCUGCCUCUCGUGGGCGGCGCUCUGGGCUUUCCCUGGGCCAGCAUCGGUUCUUGCUGCAGGAGAAGGGGUUCUGGAACGUGGCUCUUCGGAGUGUUAUAGCCAGGGCCAGAUGCUGCGUGCGGGGACCGAGGACUGCGGCCGUGUAGGUCACGGAUGCUGGCAGAACGGCGCAACACCGCCCG
Molecule: ribosomal RNA, 537 nt
Filed under: Pichia kudriavzevii
Lineage: Eukaryota; Fungi; Ascomycota; Pichiomycetes; Pichiales; Pichiaceae
Description: partial large subunit ribosomal RNA
Rfam family: Eukaryotic large subunit ribosomal RNA
Source: RNAcentral